CAAUAGCGUAUAUUAAAGUUGUUGCAGUUAAAAAGCUCGUAGUUGGAUUUCUGGUUCAAGCGACCGGUCGGGCGUUGAUUCGUCUGCACUGGAGUCGGUUUUGGCCAUCCUCUAGGAAAGUGCGUCUGGUAUUAAGUUAUCGGGCGUAUGAUCCUGGUCUUUUACUGUGAAAAAAUUAGAGUGUUUAAAGCAGGCCUUCGCCUUGAAUACAUUAGCAUGGAAUAAUAAGAUAGGACUUUGGUCUAUUUUGUUGGUUUGCAGACCGAAGUAAUGAUUAAUAGGGAUAGUUGGGGGUAUUUAUAUUCCGAUGUCAGAGGUGAAAUUCUUAGAUUUUCGGAAGAUAGACUUAUGCGAAAGCAUUUACCAAGGAUGUUUUCAUUAA
This 382-nucleotide ribosomal RNA is filed under the name uncultured eukaryote. Its description in RNAcentral is "partial 18S ribosomal RNA". It matches the Rfam family "Eukaryotic small subunit ribosomal RNA", at positions 592 to 976 of the family's 1831-position model. The record is from RNAcentral.